This 66-nucleotide transfer RNA is filed under the name Microcondylaea bonellii. RNAcentral's name for it is "Unio bonellii tRNA-Asn". Lineage: Eukaryota; Metazoa; Mollusca; Bivalvia; Unionida; Unionidae. The record is from RNAcentral.
GGGAAAGAAGCUACACUUUAGCAAUUAGCUGUUACCUAAUAAAUAGUGAGUUACUCACCUGCCCUA